UACGAAGGGGGCUAGCGUUGCUCGGAAUCACUGGGCGUAAAGGGUGCGUAGGCGGGUCUUUAAGUCAGGGGUGAAAUCCUGGAGCUCAACUCCAGAACUGCCUUUGAUACUGAGGAUCUUGAGUUCGGGAGAGGUGAGUGGAACUGCGAGUGUAGAGGUGAAAUUCGUAGAUAUUCGCAAGAACACCAGUGGCGAAGGCGGCUCACUGGCCCGGUACUGACGCUGAGGUGCGAAAGCGUGGGGAGCAAAAGGG
RNAcentral lists this ribosomal RNA (253 nucleotides) under uncultured bacterium. Its description in RNAcentral is "partial 16S ribosomal RNA". It matches the Rfam family "Bacterial small subunit ribosomal RNA", at positions 524 to 776 of the family's 1533-position model. The record is from RNAcentral.